GUGCUUGCUUUGGCAGCAUACAUAUUAAAAUUGGAAUGAUACAGAGAAGAUUAGCAUGGUCCCUAUGCAAGGAUGACACACAAAUUUGUGAAGCAUUUCAUAUUUUU
Otolemur garnettii (small-eared galago) is the source of this 107-nucleotide small nuclear RNA. Lineage: Eukaryota; Metazoa; Chordata; Mammalia; Primates; Galagidae. The record is from Ensembl.